This 492-nucleotide ribosomal RNA is filed under the name uncultured bacterium. Its description in RNAcentral is "partial 16S ribosomal RNA". It matches the Rfam family "Bacterial small subunit ribosomal RNA", at positions 29 to 507 of the family's 1533-position model. The record is from RNAcentral.
AGUGAACGCUGGCGGUAGGCCUAACACAUGCAAGUCGAACGGCAGCACAGUAAGAGCUUGCUCUUACGGGUGGCGAGUGGCGGACGGGUAAGGAAUACAUCGGAAUCUACUUUUUCGUGGGGGAUAACGUAGGGAAACUUACGCUAAUACCGCAUACGACCUACGGGUGAAAGCAGGGGAUCUUCGGACCUUGCGCGAUUGAAUGAGCCGAUGUCGGAUUAGCUAGUUGGCGGGGUAAAGGCCCACCAAGGCGACGAUCCGUAGCUGGUCUGAGAGGAUGAUCAGCCACACUGGAACUGAGACACGGUCCAGACUCCUACGGGAGGCAGCAGUGGGGAAUAUUGGACAAUGGGCGCAAGCCUGAUCCGGCCAUACCGCGUGGGUGAAGAAGGCCUUCGGGUUGUAAAGCCCUUUUGUUGGGAAAGAAAAGCAGCAGGUUAAUACCCCGCUGUUCUGGCGGUACCCAAAGAAUAAGCACCGGCUAACUUCGUG